This 253-nucleotide ribosomal RNA is filed under the name uncultured bacterium. RNAcentral's name for it is "partial 16S ribosomal RNA". It matches the Rfam family "Bacterial small subunit ribosomal RNA", at positions 524 to 776 of the family's 1533-position model. The record is from RNAcentral.
UACGUAGGUGGCAAGCGUUGUCCGGAUUUAUUGGGUUUAAAGGGUGCGUAGGCGGCCCUGUAAGUCAGUGCUGAAAUACCCCGGCUUAACCGGGAGGGUGGCAUUGAUACUGCGGGGCUAGAGUACAGAUGAGGUAGGCGGAAUUGACGGUGUAGCGGUGAAAUGCUUAGAUACCGUCAAGAACACCUAUAGCGAAGGCAGCUUACUAGGCUGUAACUGACGCUGAGGCACGAAAGUGUGGGGAUCAAACAGG